AUUGAACGCUGGCGGCAUGCCUUACACAUGCAAGUCGAACGGUAACAGGUCUUCGGAUGCUGACGAGUGGCGAACGGGUGAGUAGUACAUCGGAACGUGCCUAGUAGUGGGGGAUAACUACUCGAAAGAGUGGCUAAUACCGCAUGAGAUCUACGGAUGAAAGCAGUGGAUCGCAAGACCAUGUGCUACUAGAGCGGCCGAUGGCAGAUUAGGUAGUUGGUGGGAUAAAAGCUUACCAAGCCGACGAUCUGUAGCUGGUCUGAGAGGACGAUCAGCCACACUGGGACUGAGACACGGCCCAGACUCCUACGGGAGGCAGCAGUGGGGAAUUUUGGACAAUGGGCGAAAGCCUGAUCCAGCAAUGCCGCGUGCAGGAUGAAGGCCUUCGGGUUGUAAACUGCUUUUGUACGGAACGAAAAGCCCCGGGUUAAUACCCUGGGGUCAUGACGGUACCGUAAGAAUAAGCACCGGCUAACUACGUGCCAGCAGCCGCAGUAA
RNAcentral lists this ribosomal RNA (498 nucleotides) under uncultured bacterium. Its description in RNAcentral is "partial 16S ribosomal RNA". It matches the Rfam family "Bacterial small subunit ribosomal RNA", at positions 30 to 523 of the family's 1533-position model. The record is from RNAcentral.